RNAcentral lists this unclassified non-coding RNA (6150 nucleotides) under Neodiprion pinetum (white pine sawfly). RNAcentral's name for it is "interaptin-like, transcript variant X5". The record is from RNAcentral. Lineage: Eukaryota; Metazoa; Arthropoda; Insecta; Hymenoptera; Diprionidae.
UCCAGAGUUUCGGAAUAUCCGAUGGGCGUGGUUUUCAGCUAAAAUCUUUCGGAGCGGCCAUAACAGCUCAGAAGAGUUCUUGUGUCGUGUGCGUGGAGUUCUUGUCUGAAGUCGAGGAGAAAAAAGAAAAUCCACCAAAAAAAAAAUGGAUGUCCAGACAGGGCUGAUUUGCGUAAGUUUGGUAGUCGUAUCGGCUGCUGUUAUUCUUUUUGUGUUAAUGUUUGGCAUGAAAGAAAAAACCUACGACGAAGCAAUAGCUGAACAACGCAAGCUACCUGAUGACUUGCUAAUAGGUAAAAGAGAAAAAGGUAAAGAGAAGAAGCAUAAAAAUAAAGCUGGGGGGAAAAAGGUAAAAGAGAAGAAGGAAGAAAAGGAAGACAGGGAAGAUGAAAAAACCGAGCACGUUCAAUUCGAGGAAAAUCCUCAAAUACUCAUUGACGAAGCACCCAUUCAGGAGGAAAAAAAUAUCAAGGGGAACAAGAAGAAGGGAAAAAUUGACAAAGUGAAACCGAUUCUUCUCAACAAAGAUGAGCCGGUGGUUUUGGUACCAGAACCCAGUCUUUCACAACCCCAGUCAGAAGACAUUAAUCAUUUUGAUUUGACUCAACCCAAAGAUGAUCUUGAACUUAUUCGUAGUCACAGCAAGGACAAUUUACAUCAAAUGACACAGUCCGAACCAAUUGUCAACAAAUCUCUCGUAGACACUCCUACGAAAACUAAGAAGAACGCAAAAGAACAACCUAAGAAAGGUGGGGAUGCAAAGGAGGAAAAAAAAGAUGUUGGAAACGCUCCACAGCAACAAGCACUCAAAGAAACUCCCAAGGAAAUUAAAGAGCAACAAAAAGAAACUCCUGUUAAAACAGCCAAAGAAAUUGUAAAAGAAAUCUCAGUUCCUGUCCAGUCAUCGGUUAAAGAAUCUAAGAAUAAGAAGAAGAGGAAUGACAUUUUAGCACAAAUUGGGGGCGACAAGGAUGGCGUCAACAUAUCUUUGCUUAUGCCUCUUAUUCAGAAGGCGGAACUUAGCCGGUCUGAAAUUCAAAUUCUUACUGAUCAGUUGUUGAACAAACAAUUAGAUAAUCCUUUAGAGCAUUCUGAGUGGACCGAAGGUCGCACAGAUCCUGUGAUUAAACUUAAAAAACAGUUGGCAGAGAAGGAAAAAGCAUUGGCUGAUGAACAAGAGGCAAGUGUUGCUGUUCAGAAUAAGCUAAAAGAAUUGCGCUCGGAAUUGAAUGCUGAAAAGUCUAGGCUCUCUGCGAACGUGAGGCAGCUCGAAGAAACUUUGAGUGCCAAAGCUACCGAGGCUCAGACUCUGCAUACUCGUGUGCAACACAUAUUGGAGAGUCAUGCUGCAGAGAAACAAGGAUUUGCCAGACAAAUAGAACAAUUGCAAAGCCAGGUUAACGAAAAGAUGACUAUUAUUCAUCAAAUGCAAGAGGAUCAGGGACAAACUCAAGGACAUCUUCAGCAAGAACUUGUCACACAGAGAAAGCAACUGGAGGUACAAUAUUCGCAGAUGAGGGAAAACGAGAACGCCUUGAAAGCGCAACUUGCCCAAAAACAUGUGGAAAUUCAAGAACUGCAGAAUAUUAAUAUGACCGUUAACCAAGAGAUCCAGAUGCUGCGAUCUACAUGUGAAAAUAGCGCUGCUGAGGUUGAGCGGCACAGGCAACAGCUAGCGAUGACGCAAGAGCAGUUAAUGCAUUCCCAGGGACAGCUGCAGCACUAUAAGGAAGCAGGAGAAAGACUUCAGGAGAUGGUUAGACAGCUCGAGGAAUCUCAUCGUACAAUUGAUGAUUUAGAACAUAGACUGCAGAAUACGCUUCGCCACGAACAAGACCUUCAAAAACAAUUGAACUCCGUUAAAUCAGAGUUGAACGCUGUGAAAAGCGAAGCUAACGAGGCCAACAAUCUUAAAGCUGAACUUAACAAGGUACAAGCCGAGUUGAACAAAUUAAAGUCUGACCUUUCAGUCUCUCAAAACGAAGCAAAGACUGAGGCAGUCGAAAUUACUUCACUCAGGACUGAGUUGAGCACGACGCAAAACGAACUGAAACAAUCGCAGUCAAACUUAAUUGUCGCCCAGACUGAACUAAAGAACUCGCAAUCCAACUGUAACAAACUUCAAAAAGAUUUCGAUAUCAUUCAAGCAGAUCUUAGGAAAUCAGCGGGUGAACUGGUUAAGGCUCAAAGUGAAAGUAAAAAUGCAAAAACUGAACUCUCUAAGGCACAGAGCGACUUGAAUAAGGUUCAAACAGAAUUAGCCAAGACCCAGGAGGAACUUAGAAACGCCCACAAAACUGUGUCUGAACUGAAAAUGUUGUCUGUUGAGGUUGAAAGGCUACAGCAGGGUGCGAGAAAUUCUUCUGAAUCACAAAUUGAGGUUGCAAGAUUGCAAGAAGAAAAUAACAGACUCUCGUCACAGUCUGGGACUCUUGCUGAGCUGCAAAAGGAGAUCAGAAAACUUCGCGAGGAAAAUGAGUUCUUAGCCUCUCAGUUAGUAGCUAAUAAGGAACGUCCAGAUGCCGAAGGCCGUGAAAAUGGCGUUGAAACAAAGGCUGUUAAGAACAUUCAACAUAUUGAACACAACAAUUUACUAGAACAGAAGGAAACUCUGCUGGAGAAGCUGAGAGUGGAAGUAAAUCAGAAAGACACAGAGCUGAGUAAGCUUACUGUCCAGUUGGAGACACUGAAAAGCGAUAUGAACAACGAACGUUGUCAAAGAACAAAUCUUCAGGACGAACUUGAGGUCCAGAAACAGAAGAACAAUGAAUUACGAACUAAGAACUGGAAAGUGAUGGAAGCUCUUUCAGCAGCAGAGUCUCGCACAAGUUCUAAUUCCAGAAGAGCAAUUGAUGAGUUAUCGCAAAAAGUUGGAAGAGAUGAACAGAAAUCCACUGACAUGUUACUGCAGAGAAUAUUCCCCGAUGUUAGUAUUGCUGAAUCUUCUCAUGAGAAGUGGUUGACUGCCAUUGAAGGCAAAGUUUCUUCACUUGUCAAGGACUCCAAACGUAAACAAGAAGACAUGGAAAAGGAGAAUCAGAGCCUACGGGGGAUGGUGUCGCAUUAUGAAGAAAUAUUUCACGAUACAGAAGGAACACUUAAUGAACUUCAAAAUCACCUAGAAUCGGAAGAAGCGAGGUGGCAGGCACAGAUAAAACAAAAAGAAGAAAUUUUAACUAGUCUUAAAACUGAACUUGACAGUCUUCGAAGCAAAUCUGGCCUCACAGAACAGCUCGAUAAAAAAAUAUCUGAAUUGGAAACGAGAUUAGCUGAAGCAGAAACCUUCAGACACCAAGCCCAAACCCAAUUAUCAUCUUUUAAAAUUCAAUCCGAAUCAUCUCCAGUGAAAGGAGAGAAAAAUCUUAGUCUCAACGCAGUAGAAAAACUUGGAGAGGAAAAAUCUCGAUUACUGCAAUCGUUGCAACAAGAAAUUAGCAACAAGGCUGCUGUUGAUGCAGAGGUAGCAAGGCUUCGCUCCCUACUAGAAAAAUCCGAGUCUGGUCUGGCAGAGGAGAAAAAUCUUGUCUUACAAUUGCAGAACGAAGUUGGCCGACUAAAGGUUAGCAACUUUUGAAUGAAGUAUCCCCCGGUUUCAGGAAUUUAGAUCAAUCCACCGUAAACGGGCCACCAAUAUCAGAUUCGUCCAAGUCUGAGGGUGGUUCAGGAAAAAAGUAACAACCUCAAAGAAUAAAUUACGUUGAAGAAAAAACAGCAUCAGGGGUAAAAAGGCGGCGAUAAUAAAGAUUUGAUAAAUAGAACGAACACUGUGCGCACAUGUGCCAUUGAUGCGAGCAGUCGAAAUUUUGCUAUAAAGAAGACUAAUAUAAUGAUAAUGACGAUUAAAAAUAUUGCUGAUAAUCUUUAUUUUAAGAAAUAUCAUAUUUUAAUAUGUAAAAGAAGUAUGCAACAAAUUAACAAGUAGAUAGAUAACACAGAUUAUUGAAAAACGGUGUGUGUGACUAUUAUACAUAUAUAACUAGUUGUAGAAAUAUAAUUUCAAUAAUGCCUCUCACAUCUUGUGUUGACAAACAGAUCUUGUGUUUUCGACUUUCAAAUAUUAUUUUAAGAUACUUAAUUUCAUGUAGAAAUACAUGCUUCUUAAAAAAAAAAAGAACGAAAAAAAAAGUAGACAGCUCCGCACUACUCACAAAUAGUUUUAUUACACUGUUGCAAAGCUAUAAUCACACAAACAUCAAAAUGCAAUGGUCAGUGCUCACAUAUGGGCACAUUUAUGCCAAGUUACUUCAAAUGAUGUGCAUGAGUUGUAUCUCAGAAUAAUAUUCGAAUUUCAACUAAUUGUUACGAACUUGGCUUGAGUUGAUCCAUAUCUGAAAUCAAUAGGAAUGUAAAAGAUAAAAAUCACUCACAUGGGGCACUGGCAUCUGUUAGAUAUUUAUUGUGGGUGUUCUCAAAUAUCUUGACUAAUUUUAGAGAUUUGAUUAUUUGUACAUUAUUAAGUUUCAGUUUUAAGAUGAAUUUGUACAAACGAAAUUGCAUAAAUUUACUAUCACUAGUUAUCAAAUCAAGGCAAAUAGUGAGAUUGAGAAUUUUUCUGGCUGUGAAAAAAGAAAGAGAAAAGUAAUACUGUCGAAUCACUAAAAAUCAUGAGUGCAGAAUAAACUUGAAUUUAGCAAUAACUUUUGGUUAUAUUUAUUAUAAUCAUCUGUGUAUUACUGAACUGAAUAUCUUGUGGCUGUCAUGCUUCAUGUGGGUAACGAUUUAUCUAUAAUUGUACAUUAAUUAGAGUUGCUGAGCUCGUAACUUUUGAUGAUUAUUGUGUAAUAAAAACGCUAUAAAGAUAGACGACGACGAUGAUGUUGUUAAUGAUGAUGAUGGUGAUGAUGUUGACGACAGUGACAACGACGGUUGUAUGCAACCAUCAAAUGUUUCUAGGUAAUCAUAUUGUGCAAUAAGAAAGGAUACAAAGAAUUUGUAAGAGUAUGUAAAGAAAGCAACAAAAAAAUAUUUAAAAAAAGAAAAACGUCUAGUACCUACUACAAUUUAUAUAACGAAGGAAGGCCAGUCUAGCAUUGGGUAAAAACCAUAAAUACUAUAAUCGCAAGAAUUUCAGCUACCGCUUGUAGAAAUUCUUUGACAUUAUUUCAAUCGAGUUAUUUAUUAAUUUUUUUUUUUUUCAUUAGAAUUAUUUUGAAAAUUCAUUUGGGGAAAUAUCAAUUUAAUCAGCGUGUAUACAUUCCAGAAAUAUAUAAUGUAAAAAGUGCCAAAAUAUUGUCAGCAUAGCUGAGUGCAAAAAGUAGCAUUUACGAAUUAUUUGAUGUUGAAAAAAAUUGAACGAUGAAUUUCUGCAAGACAAAGCUCGGAAUGGAUUGAUAUAGCAUUUUUUCAAGUCUCAUCUGAGUAAGGGCUCAGAUUCACCUGUCCUCGUUCGCUGUACAGAUUUGAGCAGUGUAUUUGCAUCGUACUAAAUCUAGAUUUAAGUAGUGCUACUUUAUGAUGAAUUACAUACAUUGUGAAUCCUUUUUUAGAAUUGUUUUAAUAAAAAUAGCCACCAUAAUACUCAGUGAAAUUGAGUUAUUACCACAGGGUUUUAAAAAUAGGUAAAUAAAUAAAUUUCAGCGGACCUAGUGGCAUAGUCACUUUGUUUCAAAAAAAAUUAGCUAAUUGUAGCCACUAGGAAAAAGAAGAAAGAAUUGUUACACAGGUGUAUACAUAAUGAUUUAAUGUUUUAUUGCUUUCAUCAUUUUGAGUUUAAAUCAAUGAUUACUACCGAAAUACUUUAUCGCUAUUUGAAGCUAAUUACAUCAGUGUUUUUCUUCAAUAUUUCAUGAAACGAAAUUUGUACAACAAAUUAUUCACUUAACUUAUAACAACGUUUUCAAUAUCUUACAAGUACAUAUGCCGAAUCUUUUCUUCAUGUACGAAAUAAUGAGCUACAUUCAUUUAUCAUGGCAAACAAUAAUUUAUUCAAUGGUAAAUUUUUUUUUUUUUACCAACUAUAUAAUUUCUAAUAACUUAAAACAAUAGUCGUAUAUUGUCGUUUUCUUCUUUUACACAAAACGUGAACACGCGUAAUUGUUAUUUUUUCUCUUUUCUAUUUUGCAGCUUCACUUUUGCCAACAGUCCACAGAUUCUUCACAGUUUUCCCCAAACCCGGACCAUUAUAAAUUAGCAAAAGCAGACCAGCUAGUG